Arabidopsis lyrata subsp. lyrata is the source of this 773-nucleotide long non-coding RNA. RefSeq lists it as uncharacterized. The transcript has 4 exons. NCBI's taxonomy places the organism in Eukaryota, Viridiplantae, Streptophyta, Magnoliopsida, Brassicales, Brassicaceae. The record is from RefSeq and is a predicted model, not a curated record.
UCAGUACCAUUGGUCUAGUCAUGAAUAAUCUAUCUUUGGUACAUGUUCUAUUUCUCUGUUUUCAAUAUCUUACUGUUGGUGCUUGCAUUAUAAUUUUUGUAGAACUAGAAUUAGAUGUGGUGCUGGAAAUGUCUGAUUCGUAGACCGAAAUUCAGCCGCUUUUAAUCAGGAGGUGAAGGUUCCUAUAUAUCUCUCCAAGUCCACACGGCGCUACGGGGACUAGUGACAUUGCACGUCGUCUUCAACACUCCUCUUUGCAAAGAAUAGGAUGAUGUUGGGAUUCAUAUGUAUCAACACCCCCGCCUUUGAAAGUAACCUUAUCCUCAAGGUUGAAACGAAGAAAAUGACUUUUGAUGACAUUCUUUACAUUCCAAAGAACACUUGUAAUCCGGAAGGCCCUUCCACUCGAUGAGUACUUCCUCAAGGGAGUUGGUGAAACAUUUGGGAGAGUGACAAUCGAAGCAAUGGCUUAUGGACUUGCAGUGGUGGGAACAGAUGCAGGAGGAGCAAAAGAGAUCGUGCAGCACAAUGUGACCGGUUUACUUCACUCAAUGGGACGAUCCGGUAACAAAGAAUUAAUCUCUUGUUGCUACUUAGAAAUCCAGAAACGAGGCUACGAUUAGGGAGUGAAGGACGCAAAAUGGUUGAGAAAAUGUACAUGAAGCAACAUAUGUACAAUCGAUUCGUUGAUGUUCUUAUCAAAUGCAUGAGACCAUAAAAAACACUUGGAUUUACCAAAAAAUUUAGGUUAAAAAACGAAAAUUUUCAAGCUA